GGGGCCACCCGGGGAUUGAACCCGGGACCUCUCGCAAUUUUUUUUUGUCGACUACCAAAGCAAUCAACAAACUCAGGGUGGACCCUAAGCGAGAAUCAUACCACUAGACCAGCGGCCC
This is a non-coding RNA of Podospora pseudocomata, 118 nucleotides long. Lineage: Eukaryota; Fungi; Ascomycota; Sordariomycetes; Sordariales; Podosporaceae. The record is from the annotation of a RefSeq genome assembly.